This 253-nucleotide ribosomal RNA is filed under the name uncultured bacterium. Its description in RNAcentral is "partial 16S ribosomal RNA". It matches the Rfam family "Bacterial small subunit ribosomal RNA", at positions 524 to 776 of the family's 1533-position model. The record is from RNAcentral.
UACGUAGGGUGCAAGCGUUGUCCGGAAUUAUUGGGCGUAAAGAGCUCGUAGGCGGUUUGUCGCGUCUGCUGUGAAAACUCGGGGCUUAACCCCGGGCCUGCAGUGGGUACGGGCAGACUAGAGUGCAGAAGGGGCAACUGGAAUUCUCGGUGUAGCGGUGAAAUGCGUAGAUAUCGAGAGGAACACCUGCGGCGAAGGCGGGUUGCUGGGCUGACACUGACGCUGAGGCGCGAAAGCUAGGGGAGCGAACGGG